Triticum aestivum (bread wheat) is the source of this 2513-nucleotide RNA transcript. RefSeq lists it as uncharacterized. The record is from RefSeq and is a predicted model, not a curated record. The transcript is spliced from 9 exons. NCBI's taxonomy places the organism in Eukaryota, Viridiplantae, Streptophyta, Magnoliopsida, Poales, Poaceae.
CUGGGUUGGCGGUGGUCGCGUGCAUGAGAUUUUGCCCAAUCCGCGCCCCGCAUCCCGCACCAGCCACCACCCAAACCCUAGCCCCGUUUCCCCUCGAUCCCCAUAGCCUCGCCCGCCUCCAUCCCUCCUCCUCACCUCGCCACGGCCUCCGCCCCGGAGCCUCGCCGCCGCCUGCGAUUCCUCCCUCCUGCCCGCAGAGCCCAUUGGGCUCGCCAACCCUAGCCCCAAUCCACAUCCCCCGCGCCCCUCACUGGUCCCUCCUCCUCCUUCCCUCGUCCGCCGCCUCGCUCCCUCGCUCUCCUCCCUCGUCGCCGUGGCCUUCGGCCUAGGAGCCCCGCCGCCUACUGCUCCUCCUCCACCACCUCGCCUCUUUCUCCUCCUCGCCUUCCCAUCGCUCACGCGCAGGUCACCGCUGUCGGAGAACACGGGAGUGCGGGUCUUCAAGUUGGGGUGGUCAGGAGGGCUUCCCGACCUGACGGCGCCUCCUCCUCCUCGCAGCGUCGUCGCGCGUGCACCUUCUUCUCCUCCCUCCUCCCUCCCUCGUCACUACUUCCACCAGUCCCCUCCCUCCCUCGUCCGUGGCCGCUGCUGACCCCUCCUCCAGCCUCCGCGUCUCCGCCCAGGCGGCAAGGCCCCCAGCCCCCCUCGGGCCUCGGCCCCUCCAUACAGCCCGCUUCUGCCUCGUCCAACUCGCUGCUUAGCUCCCAAGGCUCGGAGGGCAGCGGGCGCGGCAGGCUCGGCAGGCAGCGGGCGCGGUGGUCAAGGCCAGGGGCGCGGAUUGGGGAGAUGCGCACACGAGGAGCGACGGCGACCGCGUCUGCCGCCAACACCGAGAUCAGCUCUUCGUUCUUUCAAGCCCUAUGUUGCUUACUCAAAUGUUUGUGGCGAUUGUAUCCUUGUGCCAUGAAUAUUUGUACUUAGCAGAUCAAUAUAAACAUAUUGGCUAUCUAUUUACCAAUUCAGAAUUUAAAGCACUUUAUUUUAUGGCCUUGAGUAAAAGUUCAGUCGUCGUUGGCUGGAAGACAUCUUCAAUACGCCGUCAACACGAGCUUCCCAAGGUAAUGAUCUAAGAGGAAGUGAGUUGGAGAUGAGAUGGGGACAGAAGAUCCUGCAGCGAUGUUGUUUCUUUGUUCUCCUGCUCAAGCUCAGGUGGAUGAGCCACGUCCUGUGUUAUUCCCCUUCGUUUCUGAAGCUCCCAGGAUUUAAUAAUGAGUUGUCUUGGGCUUCAUUGGACAAAUGAUCUACCUCGAGCAAUGAUACAGGUUGGCGUUGAAGCCUGAUGGCGUUUUUCUUGCAGCAAAUCUUGGCAGGAAGACUCUAAAGUGAUAAUCUUAAAUUUGCCAUUUACCGACAUUUUCCAGUUUCUUGUUUGACUUGCCUUUUCUUGGAUGCGAUGAUAAGGGAACUAAGAAUUGUGUGCACUAUUGCUCAAAUGGAACAUAAGGGAGGUAUCAGUCCUCAAAUGUUGCCUCUAGAACAACUCAGGUGGAUGAGCCACGUCCUGUGUUAUUCCCCUUCGUUUCUGAAGCUCCCAGGAUUUAAUAAUGAGUUGUCUUGGGCUUCAUUGGACAAAUGAUCUACCUCGAGCAAUGAUACAGGUUGGCGUUGAAGCCUGAUGGCGUUUUUCUUGCAGCAAAUCUUGGCAGGAAGACUCUAAAGUGAUAAUCUUAAAUUUGCCAUUUACCGACAUUUUCCAGUUUCUUGUUUGACUUGCCUUUUCUUGGAUGCGAUGAUAAGGGAACUAAGAAUUGUGUGCACUAUUGCUCAAAUGGAACAUAAGGGAGGUAUCAGUCCUCAAAUGUUGCCUCUAGAACAAAAGUAACGCUCAAAAGCCUGAAUAGAAUUCCUUGGGGAAGGGUAGAUGUUAGCUUCAAGAGAAGUAGACAAUGGAUUUUUGCCCAUAGCACCAUUCAGCUCCAUCCAAUGUUGUUAUCACUCUCCCUGAUGACGAUGAAGACGAGGAACCGCUGAAGCAUAGAAGGAGUAGGAAAACAUCUGCCAACAGGGUGCCCCAGAAUGUGACGGCGCCUGAGACUCUGGUUGCGGAGGAGGAGAACACCACUCGACACACUGUGUCCUUCGCAGAUCCACUGACGAGUGCUCAGCAGCCCUCCCUCUUCACGACGCACCACGUUCCAGAGGACCAAGCUGGCGCCGCGAAGGAGGCGAUACGCCAGGUAGGGAUCAUGAUGGAGCAGUUAAGGACCAUCCGGGAUGCGAGCCAGGCAGCUUACGACGCCAGUUCCGCCCUUCAAAGCAAUGUUCAGGUCAGUCGACCAUCGUCUGUUCUGUUAGGAUAUGCUAUCAAAAACUUUUCUUUCCAACAUAUACGGUAGUCACCCAUUGGAUGUGUCGAUUUAGACUCCGUGUUAGCGGGGGCACACUGAGUGCACCCGCUGGGUGUAGUCCCUAAGGCUAAGGUCGACUGCUGGCAGUCGGCCUUAGGCUUUAUAAUUUCAGUCUUUCCGUCAUUCGACUAUGGCGAAUGGAUUUCGAAAGCCGGUCGACUGGUC